RNAcentral lists this ribosomal RNA (403 nucleotides) under uncultured Glomus. Its description in RNAcentral is "SSU rRNA". It matches the Rfam family "Eukaryotic small subunit ribosomal RNA", at positions 569 to 977 of the family's 1831-position model. Lineage: Eukaryota; Fungi; Glomeromycota; Glomeromycetes; Glomerales; Glomeraceae. The record is from RNAcentral.
AGCAGCCGCGGUAAUUCCAGCUCCAAUAGCGUAUAUUAAAGUUGUUGCAGUUAAAAAGCUCGUAGUUGAAUUUCGGGGUCAGUAGGUUGGUCGUGCCACUGGUAUGCACUGGUCUUACUGGUCCCUCCCUCUUGUAGAACCGUGAUGCCAUUAAUUUGGUGUUGCGGGGAAACAGGACUGUUACUUUGAAAAAUUAGAGUGUUUAAAGCAGGCUAACGCUUGAAUACAUUAGCAUGGAAUAAUGAAAUAGGACGAUCGAUCCUAUUUUGUUGGUUUCUAGGAUUGACGUAAUGAUUAAUAGGGAUAGUUGGGGGCAUUAGUAUUCAAUUGUCAGAGGUGAAAUUCUUGGAUUUAUUGAAGACUAACUACUGCGAAAGCAUUUGCCAAGGAUGUUUUCAUUAAU